Molecule: transfer RNA, 74 nt
Filed under: Candidatus Kaiserbacteria bacterium
Lineage: Bacteria; Candidatus Kaiseribacteriota
Description: tRNA-Met
Rfam family: tRNA
About the family: Transfer RNA (tRNA) molecules are approximately 80 nucleotides in length. Their secondary structure includes four short double-helical elements and three loops (D, anti-codon, and T loops). Further hydrogen bonds mediate the characteristic L-shaped molecular structure. tRNAs have two regions of fundamental functional importance: the anti-codon, which is responsible for specific mRNA codon recognition, and the 3' end, to which the tRNAs corresponding amino acid is attached (by aminoacyl-tRNA synthetases). tRNAs cope with the degeneracy of the genetic code in two manners: having more than one tRNA (with a specific anti-codon) for a particular amino acid; and 'wobble' base-pairing, i.e. permitting non-standard base-pairing at the 3rd anti-codon position.
Source: RNAcentral
GUCGGCGUAGCUCAGUUGGUUAGAGCGAGCGUCUCAUACGCGCUAGGUCGGAGGUUCGAAUCCUCCCGUCGACA